This 253-nucleotide ribosomal RNA is filed under the name uncultured Pseudomonadaceae bacterium. RNAcentral's name for it is "partial 16S ribosomal RNA". It matches the Rfam family "Bacterial small subunit ribosomal RNA", at positions 524 to 776 of the family's 1533-position model. The record is from RNAcentral. Lineage: Bacteria; Pseudomonadati; Pseudomonadota; Gammaproteobacteria; Pseudomonadales; Pseudomonadaceae.
UACGAAGGGUGCAAGCGUUAAUCGGAAUUACUGGGCGUAAAGCGCGCGUAGGCGGUUCAGUAAGUUGGAAGUGAAAGCCCCGGGCUCAACCUGGGAACUGCUUUCAAAACUGCUGAGCUAGAGUACGGUAGAGGGUAGUGGAAUUUCCUGUGUAGCGGUGAAAUGCGUAGAUAUAGGGAGGAACACCAGUGGCGAAGGCGACUACCUGGACUAAUACUGACACUGAGGUGCGAAAGCGUGGGGAGCAAACAGG